This 774-nucleotide ribosomal RNA is filed under the name Vonarxula javanica. Its description in RNAcentral is "LSU rRNA". It matches the Rfam family "Eukaryotic large subunit ribosomal RNA", at positions 1 to 736 of the family's 3401-position model. Lineage: Eukaryota; Fungi; Basidiomycota; Microbotryomycetes; Chrysozymaceae. The record is from RNAcentral.
AAGUAUUAACCUGACUUUGCUCCUAAUCCGACUACUAGUCAACUUUUAAGAUUAGACCUCAAAUCAAGUAGGACUACCCGCUGAACUUAAGCAUAUCAAUAAGCGGAGGAAAAGAAACUAACAAGGAUUCCCCUAGUAACGGCGAGUGAAGCGGGAAGAGCUCAAAUUUGUAAUCUGGCACUUUCAGUGUCCGAGUUGUAAUCUCUAGAAGUGUUUUCCGUGCCAUAUCGCAUAUAAGUCUGUUGGAACACAGCGUCACAGUGGUGAGAACCCCGUAUUUGAUGCGAAUGUUGGUGCUCUGUGAUACACUUUCAAAGAGUCGAGUUGUUUGGGAAUGCAGCUCAAAAUGGGUGGUAAAUUCCAUCUAAAGCUAAAUAUUGGCGAGAGACCGAUAGCGAACAAGUACCGUGAGGGAAAGAUGAAAAGCACUUUGGAAAGAGAGUUAAAAGUACGUGAAAUUGUUGGAAGGGAAACGCUUGCAGUCAGACUUGCUUUGUGGAGCUCGCUUCAUUUGGCAGGCCAGCAUCAGUUUUCGUUGGUACAAAAGGGUAGGGAGAACGUGGCAGCUCCGGCUGUGUUAUAGCUCCUUACUGGAUGUAUCUCUGGGGACUGAGGAACGCAGUGUGCUUUUUGCGCAGGUCUCGACCUGUUCACACUUAGGAUGCUGGUAGAAUGGCUGUAAACGACCCGUCUUGAAACACGGACCAAGGAGUCUAACAUGUUUGCGAGUAUUUGGGUGUCAAACCCGGAUGCGUAAUGAAAGUGAAUGUAGGA